This is a non-coding RNA of Pelobates cultripes (western spadefoot toad), 389 nucleotides long. The record is from the annotation of a GenBank genome assembly. NCBI's taxonomy places the organism in Eukaryota, Metazoa, Chordata, Amphibia, Anura, Pelobatidae.
GUGUGCUUAGUGCCUCGAGGGGUCGAGGCACUCAGUGAAAACUUAAAUAAAAUCACUAAAAUAUUAAAUAAAAAUAAAUAAAUAAAUAAAAUAAAAGAUGCAGAGUCUGUUUCAAGAGGGGGCAGAGAAAGGACACCAUCUUUUACUGUGCAGACUAUUUACUGCGCCAGACUAUUUUUAUGAUCAAGUUCAGCCUAUGCAUGGGGGCAUGAGUGUACUCAGAAGGCCUUGCAAAAAACAACCUGGAGUGUUUACUUGCAAUAACCAACAACAGGCUCCCCUAAAUCACACACAAAUGUGUGUGUAAAAAUGAAAAUUUUAAAAUUACUACCACAUUUUAUCCAAUUUUUUUGGUUAAAAUGGUUGCAUCAAAGGCAUCUAAACACUCC